Molecule: long non-coding RNA, 449 nt
Filed under: Callithrix jacchus (white-tufted-ear marmoset)
Lineage: Eukaryota; Metazoa; Chordata; Mammalia; Primates; Cebidae
Description: lncRNA (ENSCJAG00000085221.1)
Source: RNAcentral
AUGAAGAAACUGAGGCACAGAGAGGCCGAAUCCACCGUCGAAGGUCCCAUAGCUGGAGGAAGCGCCCCUCACAUCCAUUACUCAGACCAGCCAUGGGGCACAUCUACUUCCAGGGAGGCCCAGAAACAUGGUCUGGAGUCUGGACGGCCGCGUGCCCAGCAGGACACUAAGUGCUCUAUGCAGGCCAGCUGGAAACACCCCCAGGAUUUCUGUCCUGGAUCAGGAGAGAGGAAGUGGGAGGAGCCAGCAGGGCGCACAGGAGACCACUGAGACACACCUCUGCUCAGGCAGCAUGGUGCUGGACGCUGCAGGGGCUCAUUAAUGCGUGAGACACAGCUUCCCCUGGGGAGAGAGGAGACGAACACAGAUGCAGUAAACAGUGGGGCGGGGCACCGCCGUGUCUGCAGCCAGAGAGCCCUUUAAGAAUCUGACCCAAAAGAUGGCGAGUA